This 21-nucleotide non-coding RNA is filed under the name Arabidopsis thaliana (thale cress). The record is from RNAcentral. Lineage: Eukaryota; Viridiplantae; Streptophyta; Magnoliopsida; Brassicales; Brassicaceae.
GAAUCCAGUAACCCGAGUUCA